This 775-nucleotide ribosomal RNA is filed under the name uncultured Neocallimastigales. RNAcentral describes it as "partial large subunit ribosomal RNA". It matches the Rfam family "Eukaryotic large subunit ribosomal RNA", at positions 24 to 616 of the family's 3401-position model. The record is from RNAcentral. Lineage: Eukaryota; Fungi; Neocallimastigomycota; Neocallimastigomycetes; Neocallimastigales.
UACGACUACAUAUCAGGCAUAUCAAUAAGCGGAGGAAAAGAAACUAACAAGGAUUCCCUUAGUAACGGCGAGUGAAGCGGGAAGAGCUCAAAUUUGAAAUCUUCAAGGUUUUACCUUGACGAAUUGUAGUUUAAAGAAGUGUUUUCUGUUGAAGUUUUGGUAAAAGUUCUUUGGAAUAGGACAUCAUAGAGGGUGAGAAUCCCGUAUUUGACCAGUUACUUUCAGCUGUGUGAUACACUUUCAAAGAGUCGGAUUGUUUGGGAAUGCAGUCCAAAAUGGGUGGUAAAUUUCAUCUAAAGCUAAAUAUUGGCGAGAGACCGAUAGCGAACAAGUACCGUGAGGGAAAGAUGAAAAGAACUUCGAAAAGAGAGUUAAACAGUACGUGAAAUUGUCAAAAGGGAAGCGUUUGACACCAGUGUUGUUUUCUCGAAAAUCAAUUAAAAAAAGUUGGAUUUUGUGUUGUAUUGACCUUAACAGCUUGCUUCACUCUUUUCCAGCUUUUUUUAAUGCACUUUUCGUUUAACAAGUCAACAUCAGUUUCUUUUGUUGUAAAAGGGUCAUUGGAAGGUGGCUUUCUCUUCGGAGAAAGUGUUUAUAGCCUUUGAUCUCUGCAAUCGGAGAGACUGAGGUCUGCAGCGUAGAUCCUUCGGGGUUAGAUACAUUUGUGCUAAGCUACAGCUUUUCAUAGACAACUUGUUGACUAUGUUUAGUCUUGUAACUUACCCGCUUAUGCUAUUUUACCUACGCUUAGGAUGUUGAGCGCAUGUCUCUCUCU